UACGUAGGGUGCGAGCGUUGUCCGGAAUUAUUGGGCGUAAAGAGCUCGUAGGCGGUCUGUCGCGUCUGCUGUGAAAACCCGAGGCUCAACCUCGGGCCUGCAGUGGGUACGGGCAGACUAGAGUGCGGUAGGGGAGAAUGGAACUCCUGGUGUAGCGGUGGAAUGCGCAGAUAUCAGGAGGAACACCGGUGGCGAAGGCGGGUCUCUGGGCCGGUACCGACGCUGAGGAGCGAAAGCGUGGGGAGCGAACAGG
Molecule: ribosomal RNA, 253 nt
Filed under: uncultured bacterium
Lineage: Bacteria
Description: partial 16S ribosomal RNA
Rfam family: Bacterial small subunit ribosomal RNA
Source: RNAcentral